RNAcentral lists this ribosomal RNA (253 nucleotides) under uncultured bacterium. Its description in RNAcentral is "partial 16S ribosomal RNA". It matches the Rfam family "Bacterial small subunit ribosomal RNA", at positions 524 to 776 of the family's 1533-position model. The record is from RNAcentral.
UACGUAGGGUGCAAGCGUUAAUCGGAAUUACUGGGCGUAAAGCGUGCGCAGGCGGUUCUCUAAGUCAGAUGUGAAAUCCCCGGGCUCAACCUGGGAACUGCAUUUGUGACUGUAGAGCUGGAGUGCGGCAGAGGGGGAUGGAAUUCCGCGUGUAGCAGUGAAAUGCGUAGAUAUGCGGAGGAACACCGAUGGCGAAGGCAAUCCCCUGGGCCUGCACUGACGCUCAUGCACGAAAGCGUGGGGAGCAAACAGG